This 265-nucleotide ribosomal RNA is filed under the name uncultured bacterium. RNAcentral's name for it is "partial 16S ribosomal RNA". It matches the Rfam family "Bacterial small subunit ribosomal RNA", at positions 793 to 1055 of the family's 1533-position model. The record is from RNAcentral.
GUCCACGCCCUAAACGAUGCGAACUGGACGUUGGGAGCAAUUAGGCUCUCAGUGUCGAAGCUAACGCGUUAUGUUCGCCGCCUGGGGAGUACGGUCGCAAGACUGAAACUCAAAGGAAUUGACGGGGGCCCCGCACAAGCGGUGGAGUAUGUGGUUUAAUUCGAUGCAACGCGAAGAACCUUACCUGGCCUUGACAUCCACGGAAUCUUUGAGAGAUCAGAGAGUGCCUUCGGGAACCGUGAGACAGGUGCUGCAUGGCUGUCGU